This 253-nucleotide ribosomal RNA is filed under the name uncultured bacterium. RNAcentral's name for it is "partial 16S ribosomal RNA". It matches the Rfam family "Bacterial small subunit ribosomal RNA", at positions 524 to 776 of the family's 1533-position model. The record is from RNAcentral.
UACGUAGGGUGCAAGCGUUAAUCGGAAUUACUGGGCGUAAAGCGUGCGCAGGCGGUGAUGUAAGACAGAUGUGAAAUCCCCGGGCUCAACCUGGGAACUGCGUCCGAUACUGGCAGGCUUGAAUCCGGGAGAGGGAUGCGGAAUUCCAGGUGUAGCGGUGAAAUGCGUAGAUAUCUGGAGGAACACCGGUGGCGAAGGCGGCAUCCUGGACCAAUUCUGACGCUGAGGAGCGAAAGCCAGGGGAGCAAACGGG